UGGGGAAUUUUGGACAAUGGGCGCAAGCCUGAUCCAGCCAUGCCGCGUGCGGGAAGAAGGCCUUCGGGUUGUAAACCGCUUUUGUCAGGGAAGAAAUCUUCUGAGUUAAUACCUCGGGAGGAUGACGGUACCUGAAGAAUAAGCACCGGCUAACUACGUGCCAGCAGCCGCGGUAAUACGUAGGAUGCAAGCGUUAAUCGGAAUUACUGGGCGUAAAGCGUGCGCAGGCGGUUUUGUAAGACAGAGGUGAAAUCCCCGGGCUCAACCUGGGAACUGCCUUUGUGACUGCAAGGCUUGAGUGCGGCAGAGGGGGAUGGAAUUCCGCGUGUAGCAGUGAAAUGCGUAGAUAUGCGGAGGAACACCGAUGGCGAAGGCAAUCCCCUGGGCCUGCACUGACGCUCAUGCACGAAAGCGUGGGGAGCAAACAGGAUUAGAUAGCCCUGGUAGUCCACGCCCUAAAACGAUGUCAACUGGUUGUUGGGAAGGUUCCUUCUCAGUAACGUAGCUAACGCGUGAAAGUUGACCGCCUGGGGAGUACGGCCGCAACGGUU
This 551-nucleotide ribosomal RNA is filed under the name uncultured bacterium. RNAcentral describes it as "partial 16S ribosomal RNA". It matches the Rfam family "Bacterial small subunit ribosomal RNA", at positions 355 to 895 of the family's 1533-position model. The record is from RNAcentral.